This 87-nucleotide transfer RNA is filed under the name Citrobacter freundii. RNAcentral's name for it is "tRNA-Leu(cag)". It matches the Rfam family "tRNA". Rfam says of the family: Transfer RNA (tRNA) molecules are approximately 80 nucleotides in length. Lineage: Bacteria; Pseudomonadati; Pseudomonadota; Gammaproteobacteria; Enterobacterales; Enterobacteriaceae. RNAcentral also lists the same sequence under 9 other names. The record is from RNAcentral.
GCGAAGGUGGCGGAAUUGGUAGACGCGCUAGCUUCAGGUGUUAGUGUCCUUUUGGACGUGGGGGUUCAAGUCCCCCCCCUCGCACCA